Molecule: ribosomal RNA, 208 nt
Filed under: uncultured bacterium
Lineage: Bacteria
Description: partial 16S ribosomal RNA
Rfam family: Bacterial small subunit ribosomal RNA
Source: RNAcentral
UACGGUAGGGUGCAAGCGUUAAUCGGAAUUACUGGGCGUAAAGCGUGCGCAGGCGGUUGUGUAAGACAGAUGUGAAAUCCCCGGGCUCAACCUGGGAACUGCAUUUGUGACUGCACGGCUCGAGUGCGGCAGGAGGGGGAUGGAAUUCCGCGUGUAGCAGUGAAAUGCGUAGAGAUGUGGAGGAACACCGAUGGCGAAGGCAGCCCCC